UCACGAAUCCUGCGCAUUACAAACGUCACAUGCUUAUGACGUUUACGUCGUCCUUCGAAACUAUAGGUGAUCAAUGGAAAAGACAGGAAAGUAAAAGAGUCCAAGAGCGUUGUAGAUGCUUCAUUUGCAUAGAUAAUUCAUAAAUUAGCAAGAUGUCGUCGGUGGAAAAAUCUCUCAUAGAGACUGAGUUGAUAAAAGAGAAAUCUGAAACCGUCAAAAAAGAUUCUAAAGUCUCUUGGUUUAUUUGUUUCAAUGGAUGGUUGACCCAAAUCUUGAUUUUGGGGGUCUUGCAUGGAUUCGGUGUGUUCUUUGUGGAAUUUACGAAGGACUUCAAAUCUUCAAAAUCAAAAGCUGG
This 355-nucleotide long non-coding RNA is filed under the name Mytilus galloprovincialis (Mediterranean mussel). Lineage: Eukaryota; Metazoa; Mollusca; Bivalvia; Mytilida; Mytilidae. The record is from RNAcentral.